AGAAUCAACGCUGGCGGCGUGCCUCAGACAUGCAAGUCGAACGAUUAAAGCUCUCUUCGGAGAGUGUAUAGAGUGGCGCACGGGUGAGUAACACGUAAGUAAUCUACCCUCGAGUGGGGAAUAACGUCCGGAAACGGACGCUAAUACCGCAUAAUGCAGCGGCACCGCAAGGUGACAGUUGUUAAAGAUUUAUCGCUUGAGGAGGAGCUUGCGGCAGAUUAGCUAGUUGGUAAGGUAAUGGCUUACCAAGGCUACGAUCUGUAACCGGUCUUAGAGGACGGUCGGUCACACUGACACUGGAAUAACGGGUCAGACUACCUACGGGAGGCAGCAGUACGGG
Molecule: ribosomal RNA, 340 nt
Filed under: uncultured soil bacterium
Lineage: Bacteria
Description: bacterial SSU rRNA
Rfam family: Bacterial small subunit ribosomal RNA
Source: RNAcentral